Molecule: ribosomal RNA, 432 nt
Filed under: uncultured bacterium
Lineage: Bacteria
Description: partial 16S ribosomal RNA
Rfam family: Bacterial small subunit ribosomal RNA
Source: RNAcentral
AGCGAACGCUGGCGGCAGGCUUAACACAUGCAAGUCGAGCGGGCCCUUCGGGGUCAGCGGCGGACGGGUGAGUAACGCGUGGGAACGUGCCUUCUGGUCUGGAAUAACCCUGGGAAACUAGGGCUAAUACCGGAUACGCCCUUUUGGGGAAAGGUUUACUGCCGGAAGAUCGGCCCGCGUCUGAUUAGCUAGUUGGUGGGGUAACGGCCUACCAGGGCGACGAUCAGUAGCUGGUUUGAGAGGAAGGUCAGCCACACUGGGACUGAGACACGGCCCAAACCCCUCCGGGAGGGAGGAGGGGGGAAAAUUGGACCAGGGGCGGAAGCCUGAUCCGGCCGUGCCGGGGGAGUGAUGAAGGCUUGUGGGUUGAAAGGCUCUUUUAACCGGGAGGUUAAGGCGGGAACGGGAGAAAAAAGCCCCGGCUACUUCGGG